GUGUCAGCCGCCGCGGUAAUACCAGCACCCCGAGUGGUCGGGACGAUUAUUGGGCCUAAAGCAUCCGUAGCCGGUUCUGCAAGUCUUCCGUUAAAUCCACCUGCUUAACAGUUGGGCCGCGGAGGAUACUACAGGGCUAGGAGGCGGGAGAGGCAAGCGGUACUCAAUGGGUAGGGGUAAAAUCCACUGAUCCAUUGAAGACCACCAGUGGCGAAGGCGGCUUGCCAGAACGCGCUCGACGGUGAGGGAUGAAAGCUGGGGGAGCAAACCGGAUUAGAAACCCUCGUAGUCC
This 292-nucleotide ribosomal RNA is filed under the name uncultured bacterium. Its description in RNAcentral is "partial 16S ribosomal RNA". It matches the Rfam family "Archaeal small subunit ribosomal RNA", at positions 455 to 747 of the family's 1478-position model. The record is from RNAcentral.